This 223-nucleotide non-coding RNA is filed under the name Apilactobacillus kunkeei. RNAcentral describes it as "T-box". It matches the Rfam family "T-box leader". Rfam says of the family: Uncharged tRNA acts as the effector for transcription antitermination of genes in the T-box leader family. T-boxes are found upstream of many aminoacyl-tRNA synthetase genes and some amino acid biosynthetic genes usually in Gram-positive bacteria. The record is from RNAcentral. Lineage: Bacteria; Bacillati; Bacillota; Bacilli; Lactobacillales; Lactobacillaceae.
AAUAAGACGUUGAACAGGAAUUUUAAUUAUUGAGUGUUUCACAGGAAGCUCACGGUUAUGAGAGUGAGUAACACGGUAGUUAAAUCGUACCUGAGAGUCAUUUUUCGAAAUGAGUAGAAAAAAUCGUAGGCGGCGUUAACGCUGAAGUUAUUAUAACUUCUCGAGCUAGUAUUCGUGAGAAUACUAGGAAUUGAGGUGGCACCGCGAUUUAUUCGUCCUCUUG